Oncorhynchus kisutch (coho salmon) is the source of this 13742-nucleotide RNA transcript. It is a transcript of the gene named serine/threonine-protein kinase WNK2, with no coding region annotated. The transcript has 24 exons. Lineage: Eukaryota; Metazoa; Chordata; Actinopteri; Salmoniformes; Salmonidae. The record is from RefSeq and is a predicted model, not a curated record.
CACAUCAGAGCCUCCUCGCGGGUUGUCGAGAGGAAUGGAGAAGCCAGCAAGCGCGUGCAGUUACACCUUGUACACAGAUGGCCGUGUGACUCCUAUCUUGUAAAUUAUGUACAUAAAGUAACGUCUGAAGGUAUCUGCAUGUAUGAGUGUAUAUACAUUUAUGUCGCAUCAUCUGUGUGGCACAUACCGUUAGACCUCCUGCCUGCUCUAGUGUAGAUUUAGAAAGACUCGACUCUAGUUGGGAUUUUCAAACUUGGAUUUACCGACACGCACUAAUGGUGAAGCUCAAAUUUUAAAAAGGAUAUCAUUUGAAAAUGAGUCGUAUCUUGCAUAAUCUGAUGGAAUAUUGCUGUUAAAAUCAUUAUAGGCAAUGAAGUGAAAUUUAAAGGUCGCUUGGGCAACGUUUGAAAUAAUUUGUGUAGCUACAUAACGGAAUAUAAAUUAUAGGGCUUGUUUAGCUAGCUUGCUAGCUGUCUGGGUUACCAGUUUGCCUAAAAAAAAUCAGAACGGACGUCACGAGAUGAUACAUUUAGGAUUUACCUGAGAUUCACCUUAAGACUUUGACAGAGAUGAUUUUCUAGAAGAGGAGGAAGAGGCCCUAGCUCCCCUCAGCUUCCCUCUCUUUCCCAGAGACAUUAAACACUUUCUUCUGCCUCAGCGUGUGUAUAUAGUAAGGUUGGCUGAGGCGAGGCUUUAUUGAGGUGCCUAUUGACUUUAGUCCCCUUGGUAAGGUGCACAGGAAAGGGUAUGCACUUUAGGAGAUGGAGAGAAAGAAAGUAAGGACAGAAAGCUAGGACGGAGUGGAGAUAAGAAGCACUGUGCUGCUCAUCCUCUUUAUGCCUCUGUAAAGACUCUAAAGAAAGGAGAGAGGAGGACGGGAGCCUCUAGUGGCAGGGCCCAGCCCCGUAGUCACCAGCAACACUGGAACAACAGCAGCCAGAGAACCUAGAAGGUGGGUAAGAAGAGGACCACAGAAAGAGAGGAGAGACGGGGACUGAACAAGAACCAGAGGACGGGGAGCAGGAGGGGCAUCCCCAUGGCGACGGACCCUGGAGAACCCACGGGGACAGAGGACUCCUCAGAGAAAACUGAUGGAGCGCGAGAGGAGGAGACGGAGCAGGAGGAUGGCAGGAGGGAAAGGACGCAAAGUACCCCCUCUGACUUCCCCUCCUCCCAGGCUCAGGAGAGGAGAGCCGCCGAGGGUAGGGAUACAGGAGAAGGACCAAGAGGAGGCGGAAGUAGAGGAGGGCGAGGAGAGAUGGAGGACAGAGAUGUUAAGGAAGAGGAGAUACCUCCGUUUAGACCUAUGUCUCUCUCCACACCCUCAUCCCCAGCUGCGACCGUGAUGGCUUCAGGGUCAGGAGGUCACGGGCCGAGGCUGAGGAGAGAGAAGCGUUUCUUCAGGAAGAGUGUGGAGAUCUGCGAGGAGGAGGACGAGGUAGCGGCAGACCCCCCAGAGGUGUCCCACUCCGCCCCCCACCUGGAUUCAGUCUUCACCCUCACCGGGGCCCAGGCCGCUACUGCCACCGCCACCUCAGCUUCCGCAGCCCUAGGACACGACACCGCUCACCAUGACCCAUCCAGCCCCAGCACCACCCAGGACCCCGGGGCCAAGGACGCCCCCUCUUCCGCCCCUGCCCAGACGGGGAAGGAGAGGGACAGGGAGCAGGAGGAGGAGGCAGAGAUGAAGGCCGUGGCCACCUCGCCGGGGGGGAGGUUUCUGAAGUUUGACAUUGAGCUGGGGAGGGGAGCCUUUAAGACCGUUUACAAAGGCCUAGACACUGAGACCUGGGUGGAGGUGGCCUGGUGCGAACUACAGGACCGUAAGCUGACCAAGGCGGAGCAGCAGCGUUUUAAGGAGGAGGCAGAGAUGCUGAAGGGGCUCCAACAUCCUAACAUUGUUCGUUUCUAUGACUCCUGGGAGUCAGUGCUGCGAGGGAAGAAGUGCAUCGUCCUGGUCACCGAACUCAUGACCUCGGGGACACUCAAAACGUAUCUAAAGCGCUUCAAGGUGAUGAAGCCGAAGGUCCUGAGGAGCUGGUGUCGUCAGAUCCUGAAGGGCCUCCAGUUCCUCCACACCCGGACCCCUCCCAUCAUUCACAGGGACCUGAAGUGUGACAACAUCUUCAUCACGGGCCCCACCGGUUCCGUCAAGAUAGGAGACCUUGGACUGGCUACUCUCAUGAGGACUUCCUUUGCUAAGAGUGUCAUAGGUACUCCUGAGUUCAUGGCUCCAGAGAUGUACGAGGAACAUUAUGACGAGUCAGUGGACGUCUAUGCCUUUGGGAUGUGCAUGCUGGAGAUGGCCACCUCAGAAUAUCCCUACUCAGAGUGCCAGAAUGCUGCACAGAUCUACCGUAAAGUCACCAGCGGUAUAAAACCAGCCAGCUUUGAUAAAGUCAAUGACCCAGAGAUUAAAGAGAUCAUCGAGUGCUGUAUCCGCCAAGACAAGAAUCAGAGGCUGUCCAUCCGGGACCUGUUGACCCACGCCUUCUUUGGGGAGGACACUGGGGUGCGUGUGGAGCUGGCGGAGGAGGACAUGGGGUAUCAGGAGUGUCUGGCCCUCAGGAUCUGGGUGGAGGAUCCCAAGAAGCUGAAGGGCAAACACAAAGACAACGAGGCCAUUGAGUUCAGUUAUGACCUGGAGAAUGACAGCGCAGAAGAGGUGGCUCUGGAGAUGGUGAAGUCGGGCUUCUUCCAUGAGAGCGAUGCUAAAGUGGUGGGGAAAUCCAUCCGCGACCGUGUCACGCUCAUCAAGAAGUCCCGUGAGAGACGCCAGCAGCAGCUGCUCCAACAGCAGCAAGGCUUUGAUGAGAGACGGGACUCCACCCUCACCUCCUCCUACACCAACACUUACCCCUCCUGCACCUCGUCCCUGGGGCCUGGUGUGGCUGGGCUGACAGGGCAAGGCGGGGGAGGUGGUGGGCAGGGGGAGGCUGAGGAGAUACCAAAGGCAGAUCAGCAUAUGAGGCAACAGCAGCAGAUCCACAGUGGGAAUCCUCUGAGCCUGCCCACAGGAGGGGAGAGCAUGGUUUCAGCCAGCUGUGAUUCCUAUGCCAAUGGCCAGAGCCAGGCGUACCCUCAGCAACGGGAGUCCUACGUGCUUUCUCAAUCCAACCUCCCUGCUGCUGCUUCGGCAAUUAUGGCCCACACCAAAAUGUUCCCAAUUAGUCAGAGCAGAGGAGUUCCGAAUGUGCUUAUUGGUCAGAGUAGUGGGAUUUCCGGCAUGUCCAUUGGCCAAAGUGGUGGUGGGGCUCCUGAUGGUCAGCAGACUUACGUUCAGCCUGUUGCCAUGCCAACACAGGUUUCACCAGAUAUACCACAGCAGUAUUCACAGUCAUACCACUCAGAUGGGUCACAGAUUUCACAAAUGGCCCCUUCCCUGUCCUACGCACCCCCAGUCUCCCCCCAAGCCCAGCUCAACAUCCUCCCAGCUCCCAUGUUAGCGGGGGACCCAACAGGACGAGUGGGGGCCAUGGUCCCUCUCCCACAACAGGCCCAGGCCAACGUCACUCCCAAUGUCAUCCAGAUGACACCCCAGCCUUUAACCCAGCAAGCACUGCCUGACAUGAUCCCACAGCAGCAGACCAUUGUUCAACAACAACAACAACAACAACAGAUACUGAUUGAGCAACAGCAGCAGCAGCAAAUGGAGGCUCAACAAGCCGCCCUGCUUCAGCAUCAUCAACAACAACAUCAACAACAGGCCAGUGUAUUUCCCCAGAAACAGGCGGUACAGCAACAGAUGGAACAACAGCAGCAGCAACAGCAGACUAUAGCAAUCCAACAGCAACAAACUACUGAGCCACAGCAGCAAGUGUAUGUGCAGCAAGCUUUGGUUCAGCAGCAGCAGGCCUUACUACAACAACACCAACAAUCAAUGGAACAACAGCAGCAUCAGGCCUUACUACAACAACAACAAUCAAUGGAACAACAGCAGCAUCAGGCCUUACAACACCAACAAUCAAUGGAACAACAGCAGCAUCAGGCCUUACUACAACAACAACAAUCAAUGGAACAACAGCAGCAUCAGGCCUUACUACAACAACAACAAUCAAUGGAACAACAGCAGCAUCAGGCCUUACUACUACAACAACAAUCAAUGGAACAACAGCAGCAUCAGGCCUUACAACACCAACAAUCAAUGGAACAACAGCAGCAGCAACAACAGGGAUUGUCAUUGCAGCAACAGCAAUUGGAUCAAACCCAAGCCUAUGCGCAACCACCGCAAAUUGACAUACAACAGCAGCAACAACUGCAGCAGCAGCAACAGCAGCAAAUAUUGUUACUACACCAACAACACCAGAUAGAACAUCAGCAACAACAACAAGCAAUGUUACUAGAACAACAACAGCAAGUGUACAUACAACAGCAGCUUGAGCAACAGCAGCAACAGGCUUUGCUACAACAGCAACAACAAGCGCAACUACAACAGCACCAACUGGAGCAGCAGCAAGCGUUGUUACAACAGCAGAUAUUUGAGCAACAGCAGCAGCAAGCUCUGUUACAACAGCAGCAACAAGAGCAGCAGCAACAGCAAGCCUUAAAGCAACAGCAACAACAGGCACAACUACAACAGCACCAGCUAGAGCAACAGCAAGCGCUCCUACAGCAACAACAGCAACAACAACAACAACAACUGGAGGCUCACCAAGUGAGCCAGAUACAACAACCACAAAUUGAUUUACAACAGCUGCAACAACAACAGCAAGCUGUGCUGAAACAACCGACCCAACUACAACAACAGGCGGUCGUCAGUCAUCCAGUCGACCCACAGCACCAGCAGGCUGUGCUUCAGCAACAGUUGGAACAACAGCAAGCCAUGCUACAACAGCAACAGCUUCAACAGCAACAAGUGAUUUUACAGAAGCAGCAAUUAGAGCAACAACAGCAGCAAGCUCUGUUACAACAACAGAUUGAACAACAACGGCAACAGCAGGCAUUGCUACUGCAACAACAAGCGGAGAGAAUUAACCAACAGGGUUUGCUACAACAGCAGCAGCAACAGAUUCAACAACAGCAAGAGACUGGGCAACCGCAGCAGCACCAGCAAACCACCAUAAUUCAAGUACAACAAAGCGAGAAACAAGAGACCGCUUUAAUUCUGCAACAAUGUGAGCAGCUGCAAGCAUUGAUUCAACAGCAACAGAUUGAUGUAUGUAUGUUGCAACAACAACAGCAAAACCCUGCUUUGUUUCCACCUAGUCACACUAGUCACACUAGUCUAACCCAGCAGCAAGUGACAGAACAACAGCAAGUGGUGCUGAUACAACAACAACAACAACUACAACAACAACAACAAAAACAACCUAUCUUACUGGAGCAACAACAACAGGCGUACGUUGCCCAGCAACAUCAACAGCACCAUCAGAGCUCUGUCAUUGAACCUCAGCCUCAGAUCCCCCUUAUGGCCCCAGCCAUACCAGCAGCAGAGGUUAUACAGGACAUUCAGGUCCAAGCUCAGAUAGCCGCCCAGGGUCAGGAAGUGAUACCUGUAGCCAUUCAGCUACAGAUUUCCAGCCAAGCUCUACCGGCUGUAGUGCAAGCCCAUGCCCAAGUCCUGGCCCAGAUUCAAGCUCGGAAUGAAGCUCACCCUCAGAGCCAGGGCAAUGUCUCAGUCCCAGUACUCCAAGCCCAGACCCAGCCUCCACACCAAGCCCAGCCCCAGAUGAUCGAGGUCCAGAUUCCAUCUCACAUGGUGGCCCCAAUCCAGGCACCAAGUCCUCCUAUCCCUAUCCAGCCUCAGGUUCCUCUGGUACAGGCUCCCCAUCAGAUGCCAGCUCUAAUACAGACCCAGGCGCCAGGGCAGUCAGUCAUCCAGCAGACUCCCCAGCCUUUGCACCCAACCCAGGCCCUGACUCAGACUCAGAUUCCGGAAGUUCUUGAGACUCAGAUGAUGCCUCCUAAGCACCAGAGCACAGCUCUGGUCCAACCCAAACCUCCAGCCUCAAUACCCCCCAUGCAAAGCCAGGUCCAGCCUCAACCCCAGCACCAGUCUUUAGUGCAGCCCAGUGUUCAACUUCCAGAGGUGGUGCAGCCUCAACUCCAGCACCAGGCUCCGGCUGGCCUAUUGGCACCGCAGUAUGUCACUGCACUUCAGCCCACACAACAGCAAACCAUGCAGCCAGUCCAACAGCAACAUCAGGACAUCACUCAACAAGUUUUACAACAACAACAACAGCAGAUACUGAAGGAUCAACAACAGGAGAUCACUCAACAAGUACAACAACAACAACAGCAACAGCAGAUACUGAUGGAUCAACAACAGUCCAUGCUGCAGAACCAGCAGAUGAUGUUGUCCCCUGGAUCUGUUGGUGUUGGAACUGUCCUUGCAGCCCCUGCAGCCAAGGUCAUAGACCCUACCACCUUGGUCUCUGCUUCGCCCCAACAAAUACAACAACAGACUGGACAAGCUCCAGCCCCCAUCCAGCUGGCUCUGCAGUCCCUUCCCCCUCAGCAGCAGCAAGUCUCAAUUCCCACUCUCAACCGAAGUCAACUGACUUCUCCGCUUCCUCAGAUCCCCACACAUCUGUUGCCCCAGCAGCCCACUGUUAACCCAGCACAGAUAGCAGCCCCCAGUAACGUGCCCCAGCUCGGGACUCAGACUAGAGCCCUACCCCUCUACAGUCAGGUAGGAGCAGGAGGUCCUCCACCAUCCCCCCAGCACCAGGCUCAGCUGACGCAGCCACUACCCGCCCACACACACACCCAGACGGCCAUGCAAGCUCUCGCAAACACUCACACCCAGACACUGGCCCAGACGAAGGUCCACACCGAGACCCAGCUCGCUGAGGCCGCAUUGGUGGCUGCCACCACCGAGCAACAGCACCCUCCGAAUCCCCCCCAGGCUACUUCCCUCCCUCUUCCACACAUGCCCCCCUGCCCCACUCAUACAGCAUCUCACCCCCACCCUGCCUCCCUGCCACCCCUCCGUCCUGCUACCCCUGGCCCAGAGACCCAGCCCACCCCACCAGAGAGUCAGCUAACCCUGCCUGGCCUGGCUGAUGGGCCCCCGGGACCCACUUCUCCCCCGUCUGUUGCCGCCGCUGCUGCUCAGCCCCUUGAUUCUAACGCCCCCUCGCUGCUGCCCCCAACCUCAACCUCGCUCCCAGACUGUGACCCUGCUCUGCUGAGCAUUGCUCAGGAGAGUCCGAAACAGUCUGGCACAGAGGGACACUCCACUUCAGGCUCUGUUCCAGACAAUGGGGAUGGGGAUUUACAGAUGUUGGCCAAUGAGAAACUAGAGAGGGUGAAGUCUCAGAGGAGAUUGUCCUAUCGGGGGCCAGAAAAAGGAUCACAUGCAUUUCAACUGACCAUGAUUCAGGUGUCCGGCUCUGGGGACAACAUGGUGGAGUGUCAGCUGGAAACCCACAGCAACAAGAUGGUCACCUUCAAGUUCGACACUGAGGGAGAUGCACCUGAAGACAUUGCAGAUUACAUGGUGGAGGAGGAUUUUGUCCGUGAAUCAGAGAAAGAGACAUUCUUGGAAGAGCUGAGGUCCAUUGUCAAGAGAACUCAGGAAAUUCUCCUCACACAUCAACAGACUGGCUCUAUGGAACAGCUGCAUGUGAGCACUCCAACAGGCACAGCAAUGGACGGGGCGCCCCAGUCGUCUCCGGUGGGCAGAUGGAGGUUCUUCAUCAACCAGACCAUCAGACACAGAGACUCCACAUCAAACCAGGGAGGAGCGUCAACCCCUCCACCUCUCUCGACCGGCGAGGUCAGGGUGCCUCAGCCUACAGACACUGACCCAGGCUGCCCCCUCUCACUCUGACACCAGUACCCCAGGAGAAGUCACUACGUGGCCCCCCAAUCUGCACCCCGUCCCCCUGGGCCAUGGACUGCCACAGCAUAAUGCAGGAGGUGGAUAUUUUGGCCUAAACCUGACAUGUCCUAGUAUCAGAAAUCCCGUUAGCAAGAAAUCCUGGACUCGCAAAUUCAAAAGCUGGGCGUGCAAACUGCGCCACUCCGCCAGCUUGUUCAAGAAGCCCAGAGUCAAGCAAGAUGGUCACUCUAGAGGCAGCCAGGCAGUCAGAGAGGGAGCUUCCUCCAACCCUACCCACUCACUCAAGGGACGAUUUCGGGUCACCGCAGUGCCUCAGCUCCCCGAGGCCUCUCCCCCCAAAGAGGCAGCCUCCGGUAUAGGCAGCAGUCACAGGAAAGUGGGGCGCUUCUCUGUCACCCAUACGGAGGCCCAAAGAGAGGAGAAAGAGCUAACAGACAGCUCCCCUGUGUCUCCUGACCUGGAGAGAGAAAGGAGGAGGACCCGAGGGAAAGAGGGAGAGGAAGGGAAGAAGAAUCCAGCACUGAACCACCCACCCCGAGGACAUGGGCAUGGUCACUCACCCCUAGGCAGUAGUGAUGAUGAGGAGAGUGAAAUGGGGGAUGAAGACCUGAGGAAGGAGCUGCACAAGAUGAGAGAGAAACACAUCAAGGAGGUGGUGUCCCUGCAAGCUCAGCAGAACACAGAGCUCCAGGAGCUGUACAAACAGCUCCGCUCCCUCCAAGAGCACCGGCCGACCCUGCCUCUGCCCCGCACCCCAACCCUCCCCUCGGGAGCGCCAGCCCUCUCCCCCCGCAGGCCCCGCACGGCCAAAGCCAAGCUCCGGCCCAGACCCCACUCCCACAUAGACAACAAUGGAGUCACUGGUCACCCUGGUAUCCAGCAGUCCAGUAGUUUUUCAGGCGGAGAACAGAGCAGACUACCACCGUACUGCAACCCAGAACACACCAACCUACUGACUACUAAAAGAGACCACAGUCCUCCCUCCCAAGGUGCCAGGAAGAGCACGUUCACAGAUGACUUGCACAGACUGGUUGAUGAUUGGACGAAGGAUACAGUGGGUCCCACCCAUCCCAAGCCCUCGCUCAAUCAAAUCAAGCAGAUUCAGCAGGUGCAGGAGUUGAAAGGCUGGCCACAGCCCACAGAGGUGGCUCCUCCAGGUUGGUUCCCUGUGGCACCACUGAACCCCCAGGCCUCCCCAGCCCCAGCUCAGUACACUGCUGGGGGGAGCCUGAGCCAGUGGAGCGGGAUGGGGGAACCACCAGGAUCACAGCAACAACAACAACAAACGCACAUGCCUCAAGUCCCACAGCUGCAGCAAAGUUUACAUCUCCAGCAAGCCCAGCCUCCUCACCCAUUACAAAUACAGCCCUUUCAGCAAUCACCUCUAUGCCUACAACAACAGCCCCUAAUCCAGACUCCACUACUGUCUCAGUCCCUGGCUCCUGUACAGCCACAGACUGGGCAACAACAGAUACCCAAGCAGCCCAAUGUAGGUGUAGGAGCCUCACCACAGAAUCAGAAUCAACCUCUGUUGCCUUCCCAGAUACCCCAAAUGGCCCCGUCAUCUGAGCUGGCCCUAGCGCAGCCUGGGUGUCUGAUUCCUGGGUCUAGCACAACCGCGGUGGUGGGAACCAUAGACACUGGACCUGCUGCUGCUGCCACCGGUGUCCCCGGAGGCACAUUCUGCUCCUCCUCCUGCUGCUCUGCUGCAGCUCAACCAUCCAGUGCCAAACUUCACCCCACGCCCCCAACCUCAACUCUUCCUCUGGGACAGCAGUGAAAUGAAGAAAAUAAAAAAAGGGAAGAGUGAUGUCGAUUAUGAUGGAACGAGGGAAGGAGAAAAAAGAUGGAGAGUGUGUAUGUUAUGAGAGGUAAAUGUCUGAGAAUGAGAAAAUGGACGCCAGUGGGUUUGUAAAGUUGAGAUGGGGAGUGAAUGAGAGAGAUGGUUGAGUCUAUGUAGAGUAUGUAGAGUAGAGUAUGUACAGACAGAGGGGAAAUGUGGAACUCUGGUGGGGUUAUUGUUGUGUUUGAGUGUUGAGAUGUACAAACUUGCGUAACGUUUGUGUGUGUAUUUGUGUGUGUGUUUGUGUUGCCAUUGAUUUUCUCAAUACAUAUCUCUUGUGUGUUUUGACACCAAGUAACAGUCAUGUUAUUUUUUUAAAUCCAACUAAUUUGGACCCUGAACUCUUCUCCCAAGCAGAGACAUGAAGGAACACAAACAUUAUGACAUUAUUAUUCUAUUUUUUAUUUGUCAAUGCUUACUUAUAUUGAAAACGACUAUGGAUUUUAGAAGUGCAAUUACUAACUGUCAUCUAAAUUUUAUCAUCCUGUAUUGUUUGUAAGGCAUUUAACAAAAUAUUUUUGUAGAAGCACGUUGACAACAAUCAACCAGACAUUUACAAGCCAAUACAGUGAGCCAACAUCUUACAUGAACAUAGCACAAAUGUUUCAACAGGCUACCAAUGAGAUGUAAAGCAGUUACAACAACAGCAUGUUACAGUAACACCACAGAGCAUGGUAAAAAUGGUGCUACCUGGCUAUUAUCACUACCACAAUGUCACUAUGCAUACUGUUGUACGGUGUAGUGCACUGGCAAGGCAUGUACUUUGUGUAUUGUUAUAUUUGACAUUGAUAAGUAGUGGUAACAACUAGGUUAGAAGAUUUCAAAUAACAUGUUGAUGAGUAACAUGAUUAAAUUCUGAUCAAUUAAUUUCCUUAAUACACUGAAAAAAUGAUUUAAUUGAUGAAUAUGUUCAGUGGGCUUUCAUUUAAAUCUUACUGAAUAAACACUCAUCGAGACUAAAACUGCAUGAUCUUAUGGCUACAACAUACCUUGACUUGCCUGACUUUAGUGCAAUCUACUUACAAGUGCUUAUAUAUAUAUAUAUAUAUAUAUAAGCACUUGUAUAUAUAUAUAUAUAUAUAUAUAUAUAUAUAUAUAUAUAUAUAUAUAUAAGCACUUGUGUAUAUAUAUAUAUAUAUCACGUCUGCUGCUGUGCACAACAGAAAAACAUUUGUUUUAGAUAAGUGUUAUUUCCUCUACCAGUCUCAGCCCUGCAUAUUGAAGGUGUCAUCCAAGGAAAACAAUGAUGAGAAAACAAACAAAAUGCCAAGUCAUUUCAUGGUAAUGGAGAACCCAUGUAAAUGUAUAGGGGCUGUUCUCACAUUGCCUUUUGGAAUUAAUACUUUACUGUGUGUGUGACUGUGCACCAAAAACGUGGACUAUGUACAAGAAGUGCUAUAGUUUCUAAACGGUUCACCCUAUAUGAUGAAAAUACCCUCAGAUUAAAGCAGACAGUCUGCACUUUAACCGCAUAUUAAUUGUAUAAUUUCCAAUCCAAAGUGCUGGAGUACAGAGCCGAAACAACACAUCAUGUGUCACUGUCUCAAUACUUUUAGAGCUCACUGUAUGAAACAGACUGCUUCAUAGUGAAUUGAAAACUCACCCUAAAACUACUGAAAGUGGAAGGACGAAAACAAAACAUUGACAUUUCUAUUGGGGAGCUAAAACAGUUUGUGCUUACGCUUAUGGUUGUUCAAAAAGUCAAACCGUUACAAAUUGCAUAUGAAUAUAGAGUUUAACAUAAUGGUUUUCAGUAUUUGUUGUUUUUUUAUGAGUUUUUUUUAUGAGACAACCCACAUUUUCACAGUAAUAUAGUUGCUGAUUAUUAGUGGAGUGGAGGAAGUGCUGUCAAGUCAACACUAACAUGUUGACCUUAUGUCACAGCUUAAAGAUAUUCACGAAAAGGAAAUGUGGAACUCACCCUUUCCUGAAGUGUUACCAAAAUGUAAUCUAAAAUAAGAAAAUAUUAUUUUUGUAUUUUGAAAUGGGGUUGUACAAAAUGUAAAAUGGUGUUCUUCUGAUCAACAUUUAAAAUCUGAGGUUAUCUGAUACUAGAAAACAUUGGUUCUCAUCUCUGUUGAUGGAGUCCCCCCCAUGCAUAUAUUACAGCGAGGGAAAAAAGUAUUUGAUCCCCUGCUGAUUUUGUAUGUUUGCCCACUGACAAAGAAAUGAUCAGUCUAUCAUUUUAAUGGUAGGUUUAUUUGAACAGUGAGAGACAGAAUAACAACCAAAGAAUCCAGAAAAACGCAUGUUAAAAAUGUUAUAAAUUGAUUUGCAUUUUAAUGAGGGAAAUAAGUAUUUGACCCCCUCUCAAUCAGAAAGAUUUCUGGCUUCCAGGUGUCUUUUAUACAGGUAACAAACUGAGAUUAGGAGCACACUCUUAAAGGGAGUGCUCCUAAUCUCAGUUUGUUACCUGUAUAAAAGACACCUGUCCACAGAAGCAAUCAAUCAAUCAGAUUCCAAACUCUCCACCAUGGCCAAGACCAAAGAGCUCUCCAAGGAAAUCAGGGACAAGAUUGUAGACCUACACAAGGCUGGAAUGGGCUACAAGACCAUCGCCAAGCAGCUUGGUGAGAAGGUGACAACAGUUGGUGCGAUUAUUUGCAAAUGGAAGAAACACAAAAGAACUGUCAUCUCCUUCGACCUGGGGCUCCAUGCAAGAUCUCACCUAGUGGAGUUGCAAUGAUCAUGAGAACGGUGAGGAAUCAGCCCAGAACUACACGGGAGGAUCUUAUCAAUGAUCUCAAGGCAGCUGGGACCAUAGUCACCAAGAAACCAAUUGGUAACACACUACGCCAUGAAGGACUGAAAUCCUGCAGCGCCCAAAAGGUCCCCCUGCUCAAGAAAGCACAUAUACAUGCCCGUCUGAAGUUUGCCAAUGAUAAUCUGAAUGAUUCAGAGGACAACUGGGUGAAAGUGUUGUGGUCAGAUGAGACCAAAAUGGAGCUCUUUGGCAUCAACUCAACUCGCAGUAUUUGGAGGAAGAGGAAUGCUACCUACGACCCCAAGAACACCAUCCCCACCGUCAAACAUGGAGGUGGAAACAUUAUGCUCUGGGGGUGUUUUUCUGUUAAGGGGACAGGACAACUUCACCGCAUCAAAGGGACGAUGGACGGGGCCAUGUACCGUCAAAUCUUGGGUGAGAAUCUCCUUCUCUCAGCCAGGGCAUUGAAAAUGGGUCGUGGAUGGGUAUUCCAGCAUGACAAUGACCCAAAACACACAGCCAAGGCAACAAAGGAGUGGCUCAAGAAGAAGCACAUUAAGGUCCUGGAGUGGCUUAGCCAGUCUCCAGACCUUAAUCCCAUAGAAAAUCUGUGGAGGGAGCUGAAGGUUCUAGUUGCCAAACGUCAGCCUCGAAACCUUAAUGACUUGGAGAAGAUCUGCAAAGAGGAGUGGGACAAAAUCCCUCCGGAGAUGUGUGCAAACCUGGUGGCCAACUACAAGAAACGUCUGACCUCUGUGAUUGCCAACAAAGGUUUCGCCACCAAGUACUAAGUCAUGUUUUGCAGAGGGGUCAAAUACUUAUUUCCCUCAUUAAAAUGCUAAUCAAUGUAUAACAUUUUUGACAUGUGUUUUUCUGGAUUUUUUGGUCGUUAUUCUGUCUCUCACUGUUCAAAUAAACCUACCAUUAAAAUGAUAGACUGAUCAUUUCUUUGUCAGUGGGCAAAUGUACAAAAUCAGCAGGAGAUACUUUUUUCCCUCACUGUAUGUUCAUCUUAGACUAUGUGUUGAAACAGAGCUACAUCAUGUUUCAAUUACGAGAGGUUUCGUCAGCGUGGAUAUAAUCAUAGGGUUAUCUCAACUUGUUUUAUCUCUAUGGUAAUAUUGUCUUACAUUUCACAUCUUGACUCACUGGACAAACAGCAAAACAUUAUCAAGGGGCAGGCCUAGACUAUCUAUAGGCCAUUAGGAUCUUCUAUAUGACACAUAUUUGAGUGUCCAGAUAUUACACUAGAUUCGGAACCAAUGAUUUAUAAAGAUAUUUAAACAGAAAAACAUAUUAAUAAAACGUAUGUUGCUGGUGAUUUAGCCUUUGUAAAAUGUUAACUAAUUUAAUUGUUGAUUUUAUUUAUGUUUUGUAACUAAUCAAAAUAAAUGGUGUUAAACAUCAAA